RNAcentral lists this ribosomal RNA (464 nucleotides) under uncultured bacterium. RNAcentral's name for it is "partial 16S ribosomal RNA". It matches the Rfam family "Bacterial small subunit ribosomal RNA", at positions 339 to 795 of the family's 1533-position model. The record is from RNAcentral.
CUACGGGCUGCACCAGUGGGGAAUAUUGCACAAUGGGCGCAAGCCUGAUGCAGCCAUGCCGCGUGUAUGAAGAAGGCCUUCGGGUUGUAAAGUACUUUCAGCGGGGAGGAAGGGAGUAAAGUUAAUACCUUUGCUCAUUGACGUUACCCGCAGAAGAAGCACCGGCUAACUCCGUGCCAGCAGCCGCGGUAAUACGGCGGGUGCAAGCGUUAAUCGGAAUUACUGGGCGUAAAGCGCACGCAGGCGGUUUGUUAAGUCAGAUGUGAAAUCCCCGGGCUCAACCUGGGAACUGCAUCUGAUACUGGCAAGCUUGAGUAUCGUAGAGGGGGGUAGAAUUCCAGGUGUAGCGGUGAAAUGCGUAGAGAUCUGGAGGAAUACCGGUGGCGAAGGCGGCCCCCUGGACGAAGACUGACGCUCAGGUGCGAAAGCGUGGGGAGCAAACAGGAUUAGAUACCCGGGUAGUC